Molecule: unclassified non-coding RNA, 373 nt
Filed under: Hevea brasiliensis (rubber tree)
Lineage: Eukaryota; Viridiplantae; Streptophyta; Magnoliopsida; Malpighiales; Euphorbiaceae
Source: RNAcentral
GUGUCAGAAGGGAGGCCAAAGUUAGGAGCGCAAAAGUUGGUGGCGGUGACAACAAUGGAGGUUCCUGGAAUGCAAUACCGCAGCUCCUCCACACAUCGCACCUCGAAGCAGCCACCACAAGUUGCCCCACUAUCGAACAGUGCCGGGCUCAGCCCCACCGUGGCCAGCCCAUAACCUUCCUUCCCUAAAUCCCCGUACCCACAUGCUCCUCCGACAGUGUCCCGGGGAUCAGAGGCGGCGUAGUAGGUGGCAUGAGCAGGCCGCCACUCCGUCAGCGCCGCCGAGGUAGAGGCAGAGCUGGCCGACUGGUGGGCGGCGGCGACGGUAGCUGAUACGGCCAGUAGCAGGAAGAGAAACGGGAAGCUGGGAUCCA